ACUCCACAGUCUUUUACCAAAAUAUCUCUUUCGGUAGCAAAGCAUGGGAAACUGGCACGGUUCUGAUUGGACAAAGGUGCUUGUCUUUGAGUCCGGUGCGGUUGGAGAAGAACGACGGUGACGUAGCUGUUUCUUUGCGUUGUGAGUCUGCCGUCUCUUUUACUCAGAAAAAGAAAAAAAGUCUCCCAUCUCCGUUAGCUAUUUCUUUAUGAAGCCUUUUCUUUUCAUUUAUUCUCUUCUUCUUCUUCUUCUUCUUCUUCCAGUUUAAUUAUAUUUUUUGGGGUUCUAUUGGGUGAAAAAAAAAAUAAAAAUGGGUGAUUCAGAUGUGUCUAAUGGUUUUCGUUAGAAUCUUGUUGGUAAAAAUCUGGUUUGGACCAAGGCCCUAUUUUUCUAUAUCUUAAUUAGGCGAUAAACAAUGAUGCCCAUGUUUGGUCUUGCAAAAUUGGAGUUGGUUUGGAUUCCGGUACUGUAAAAUUCAAAAAAUCCUGCUGCUUGUAUCUGGAGCUUUUUUAUUUUUGUGAGAAUUCUAAUGCAAUCCAAAUCCAUCGGAAUAGAAAGCGACCAGAGUAUGAAUCUGGGACUGCAUUCUCCCUUUCCAAGCCACCAAAAGCAGCCUUGUAUUUGUUUGACUAUGCCCUUUGCAUGGAAAAUUUGGUUGCAGGUAAACAGGAAUAAGUCCGGCCAUUAAGGGGAGGAUGCUUGUUUCUCUUACUUAGCAGUAUUUAGCCAAUGCGGAUUUUCACAUUGACUGCUUUUGUAAGUGGUGGAUACAUGGACUCUAAUCGCAAGCGCCAAGGAAAGGGUCCAUUACGUGGUGUUUUUCAUCAAUAUUUUUUUACUUGGCCCCUAGAAUGAGGGAAGCAAGUCUAUCUUGGCUGUCGGCUGACUUUUACUUAUUGGAUGUGUACAUGACACGAUGCCAACUUCCUUAAACUUCAAAGCGUUUUAGGAGAGAGCUUUAGAUACUUUGACUAGUAUACAAACUUCAAAAAUAAUGGCAUGUUUGGGUAGCACAUUUUUUUUUUUUUUUUUUUAUUAUUAUUAUUAUUAUUAUUAUUAUUAUUUUCGAGAAACA
Alnus glutinosa is the source of this 1075-nucleotide long non-coding RNA. RefSeq lists it as uncharacterized. The record is from RefSeq and is a predicted model, not a curated record. Lineage: Eukaryota; Viridiplantae; Streptophyta; Magnoliopsida; Fagales; Betulaceae. The transcript is spliced from 2 exons.